AUGUUUUUCCUGCCGUGUGUCGCCCUCCCGUCCCCGGUGCGUUUAUUUGCCGAGCAGCUUGUCCGCCCCGGUGCUCCCUUUCCCCCUCAGCCCUGCCCGCCCCGGUGCUCCCUUUCCCCCUCAGCCCUGCCCGCCCCGGUGCUCCCUUUCCCCCUCAGCCCUGCCCGCCCCGGUGCUCCCUUUCCCCCUCAGCCCUGCCCGCCCCGGUGCUCCCUUUCCCCCUCAGCCCUGCCCGCCCCGGUGCUCCCUUUCCCCCUCAGCCCUGCCCGCCCCGGUGCUCCCUUUCCCCCUCAGCCCUGCCCGCCCCGGUGCUCCCUUUCCCCCUCAGCCCUGCCCGCCCCGGUGCUCCCUUUCCCCCUCAGCCCUGCCCGCCCCGGUGCUCCCUUUCCCCCUCAGCCCUGCCCGCCCCGGUGCUCCCUUUCCCCCUCAGCCCUGCCCGCCCCGGUGCUCCCUUUCCCCCUCAGCCCUGCCCGCCCCGGUGCUCCCUUUCCCCCUCAGCCCUGCCCGCCCCGGUGCUCCCUUUCCCCCUCAGCCCUGCCCGCCCCGGUGCUCCCUUUCCCCCUCAGCCCUGCCCGCCCCGGUGCUCCCUUUCCCCCUCAGCCCUGCCCGCCCCGGUGCUCCCUUUCCCCCUCAGCCCUGCCCGCCCCGGUGCUCCCUUUCCCCCUCAGCCCUGCCCGCCCCGGUGCUCCCUUUCCCCCUCAGCCCUGCCCGCCCCGGUGCUCCCUUUCCCCCUCAGCCCUGCCCGCCCCGGUGCUCCCUUUCCCCCUCAGCCCUGCCCGCCCCGGUGCUCCCUUUCCCCCUCAGCCCUGCCCGCCCCGGUGCUCCCUUUCCCCCUCAGCCCUGCCCGCCCCGGUGCUCCCUUUCCCCCUCAGCCCUGCCCGCCCCGGUGCUCCCUUUCCCCCUCAGCCCUGCCCGCCCCGGUGCUCCCUUUCCCCCUCAGCCCUGCCCGCCCCGGUGCUCCCUUUCCCCCUCAGCCCUGCCCGCCCCGGUGCUCCCUUUCCCCCUCAGCCCUGCCCGCCCCGGUGCUCCCUUUCCCCCUCAGCCCUGCCCGCCCCGGUGCUCCCUUUCCCCCUCAGCCCUGCCCGCCCCGGUGCUCCCUUUCCCCCUCAGCCCUGCCCGCCCCGGUGCUCCCUUUCCCCCUCAGCCCUGCCCGCCCCGGUGCUCCCUUUCCCCCUCAGCCCUGCCCGCCCCGGUGCUCCCUUUCCCCCUCAGCCCUGCCCGCCCCGGUGCUCCCUUUCCCCCUCAGCCCUGCCCGCCCCGGUGCUCCCUUUCCCCCUCAGCCCUGCCCGCCCCGGUGCUCCCUUUCCCCCUCAGCCCUGCCCGCCCCGGUGCUCCCUUUCCCCCUCAGCCCUGCCCGCCCCGGUGCUCCCUUUCCCCCUCAGCCCUGCCCGCCCCGGUGCUCCCUUUCCCCCUCAGCCCUGCCCGCCCCGGUGCUCCCUUUCCCCCUCAGCCCUGCCCGCCCCGGUGCUCCCUUUCCCCCUCAGCCCUGCCCGCCCCGGUGCUCCCUUUCCCCCUCAGCCCUGCCCGCCCCGGUGCUCCCUUUCCCCCUCAGCCCUGCCCGCCCCGGUGCUCCCUUUCCCCCUCAGCCCUGCCCGCCCCGGUGCUCCCUUUCCCCCUCAGCCCUGCCCGCCCCGGUGCUCCCUUUCCCCCUCAGCCCUGCCCGCCCCGGUGCUCCCUUUCCCCCUCAGCCCUGCCCGCCCCGGUGCUCCCUUUCCCCCUCAGCCCUGCCCGCCCCGGUGCUCCCUUUCCCCCUCAGCCCUGCCCGCCCCGGUGCUCCCUUUCCCCCUCAGCCCUGCCCGCCCCGGUGCUCCCUUUCCCCCUCAGGGAAGUGGCCGCGCCGCCCUCGGUCGGUGA
This 1854-nucleotide long non-coding RNA is filed under the name Ficedula albicollis (Collared flycatcher). RNAcentral's name for it is "lncRNA (ENSFALG00000027847.1)". The record is from RNAcentral. Lineage: Eukaryota; Metazoa; Chordata; Aves; Passeriformes; Muscicapidae.